UAGAUACCCCACUAUGCCUAGCCCUAAAUCUAGAUACCUCCCAUCACACAUGUAUCCGCCUGAGAACUACGAGCACAAACGCUUAAAACUCUAAGGACUUGGCGGUGCCCCAAACCCACCUAGAGGAGCCUGUUCUAUAAUCGAUAAUCCACGAUUCACCCAACCACCCCUUGCCAGCACAGCCUACAUACCGCCGUCGCCAGCCCACCUCUAAUGAAAGAACAACAGUGAGCUCAAUAGCCCCUCGCUAAUAAGACAGGUCAAGGUAUAGCCUAUGGGGUGGGAGAAAUGGGCUACAUUUUCUAACAUAGAACAAACGAAAAAGGACGUGAAACCCGCCCUUAGAAGGAGGAUUUAGCAGUAAAGUGAGAUCAUACCCCCUAAGCUCACUUUAAGACGGCUCUGAGGCACGUACACACCGCCGG
This 425-nucleotide ribosomal RNA is filed under the name Gallus gallus (chicken). RNAcentral's name for it is "partial small subunit ribosomal RNA". It matches the Rfam family "Bacterial small subunit ribosomal RNA", at positions 779 to 1396 of the family's 1533-position model. The record is from RNAcentral. Lineage: Eukaryota; Metazoa; Chordata; Aves; Galliformes; Phasianidae.